AAGUCGCAUUUAAACACAAGAUUUCAUGUGUAAGAAGCAGGAAAGUCGGAACCGUUUUCUAGUCCCUUCCCCUUUAGUACAAAACCCCCAAAUCCCGACCUAUACACACAGCUCUCCCAUAUAUACACACAAACUCUCUGUAUCUGUACAUCGAUCUUUUUCGAUGUAUAAGUCACUUAUUCUUGCGAUUCUGUUACUUAUAAGCUGCUUUGAAGCUUCGUGUUCGAUCACAACUGGAUCUCGAUCACUUCUUCGAGCUGUUAACACUAACGCUCAAGAUCACACUAACUUUGCGAUUGAUUUGAAUUCGACUAGCUUCGAUGCGGUUCUGAAAGACACGCCUGCGACGUUCGCGAUUGUUGAAUUCUUUGCUCACUGGUGUCCGGCUUGCAGGAACUAUAAACCACAAUAUGAAAAAGUAGCCAAGCUUUUCAAUGGUGCGAAUGCAGUUCAUCCGGGGCUAAUUUUGAUGGUCAGGGUUGACUGUGCAGAAAAGAUAAAUAGUAAUCUUUGUGAUAAAUUCUCUGUUGAUCAUUACCCACUGCUUCUAUGGGGUCCACCAUCUCAAUUUGUCUCCGGCAGUUGGGAACCAAAGAAGGAGAAUAGUAAAAUAAUCUCCAUUGAUGAUGGAAGGACGGCUGAUAGAUUGCUGAAAUGGAUUAAUAAGCAAAUGGGCAGCUCGUACAGCUUAGAUGAUGGGAAAUAUGAGAAUGAGCAUGUUUUAUCAAAUCUCUCAGAUCCUGGACAGAUUGCACGUGCUGUUUACGAUAUUGAGGAAGCAACAUCAAUGGCCUUUAACUUAAUCUUAGAACACAAGAUGAUAAAAUCUAAGACUCGAGCAUCUUUUAUAGAAUUUCUUCAACUUAUCGUGGCGCAUCACCCUUCUAGGAGGUGCCGGAAAGGAAGUGCGAAUAUACUAGUAAACUUUGAUGAUUUGUGUCCAUCAGAUAUCUUGUCAGGCAAGAAACAAGAAUGUAUGACAAGUGGACCAAUUACCUUAAGUAAUUCUCAUAUUUGUGGCAGCGAAGUUCCUCGUGGAUAUUAUAUGUUUUGUCGUGGUAGCAAUAACGAAACAAGAGGCUUUAGUUGCGGAUUGUGGGUUUUACUACAUUCACUUUCUGUAAGAAUUGAAGAUGGAGAAAGCCAGAUGGCAUUUUCAGCCACAUGCAAGUUUAUUCACAAUUUCUUUAUCUGCGAAGAGUGUCGCCAACAUUUUUAUGAAAUGUGCUCAAGUGUCUCUAAUCCUUUCAACAGUACCCGUGAUUAUGCCCUCUGGUUGUGGACUGCGCAUAACAAUGUUAACAGUAGACUAAUGAAAGAAGAAGCCUCUCAAGGAACUGGUGAUCCUAAAUUCCCAAAGAUGAUGUGGCCUCCAAAACAACUUUGCCCUUCUUGCUAUCUUCAGAGCCCCCAGAGUGAUGCCGAGAAUCAAAUCGAUUGGGACCAGAAUGAGGUUUUCAAAUUCUUGGCUAGCUAUUAUGGGAAUACACUCGUGAAACUGUACAAAGACAAGGAGCUUCUUGGUGAGGCUGGAAGUGACAAGGCAGUUAUCGAUGAUUUAGCAACUUCAACAAAUGCACUUGUUCCUUUGGGGGCAGCACUUGCUAUUGCUUUAGCAAGUUGUGCAUUUGGAGCACUCGCCUGCUUCUGGCGUUCAAAACAGAAGAAUCGAAAGUACUUAUACCUUCAUUCUUUAAAGAGCAUAUAACUGUUAAAAGUCAUAAUCUCUUUUAGAAUAGAGUAGAAGAGUCGAACACGAAAACAUUUGUCAACAUUUUAUUAAAAGGAAAAAAGAGAGAAAAACAUGGUGGGAGUGAAGCUAUUUGAAAAGAGAAUUUUAGAGAAAGGGAUUGGAGUUUUGCUAGGUGGCACAAUUGCUUUCUUAUUUGUUUUUCUUCCACCAACGUUUCAGGCAAAGGAGAAGCUGGAGUUGAGAUUUUUAAAAGGAAACACUUUAUAUAUGGCAAUGAAUUAAGGUUGGAAAGCAAGUGAAACCAGGCAUCUGGCACUUCCUGAUAUGCUAGGCAUUUGGCACUUGGUUUGCAGAUAUCAGGCAUAGUAUAAGAUAUCUGUUAAAGGUUUCAUCCACCUGUUUAUCGGAAGUUAUUUUGAAGUGAUACAUGUACAAGCUAGUUACUUCAGUCAGAUAUUGGAUGCUGUGAAGGUAACAUUAGUCGAUUCAAGUAUUCCAUAGCCUUGUAAUGAGAAAUAGGGGAUCAAAAUGAACCCAUUACUGAUUACUAGCAAGUAUAAUUUGUCAAGAAUACUAAUUGGUGUUACUCCAUUACCUAACAACCAUCAGCUCUUUUAUAAAUUUGUAGCUUAUACCC
Daucus carota subsp. sativus is the source of this 2330-nucleotide RNA transcript. It is a transcript of the gene named sulfhydryl oxidase 2, with no coding region annotated. The transcript has 12 exons. The record is from RefSeq and is a predicted model, not a curated record. Lineage: Eukaryota; Viridiplantae; Streptophyta; Magnoliopsida; Apiales; Apiaceae.